Bos taurus (domestic cattle) is the source of this 1918-nucleotide long non-coding RNA. The record is from Ensembl. Lineage: Eukaryota; Metazoa; Chordata; Mammalia; Artiodactyla; Bovidae.
ACCUGAAGAGAUAGGUUAAAGUCAAGUGUGUUUGAACUCACCUACUAGGGCUUCCCUGGUGGCUCAGACGGUAAAGAAUACGCCUGCAAAGCGGGAGACCUGGGUUCGAUCCCUGGGUUGGGAAGAUCCCCUGGAGGAGGGCAUGGCAACCCACUCUAGUAUUCUUGCCUGGAGAAUCCCCAGGGACAGAGGAGCCUGGUGGGCUACAGUCCACGGGGUCUCAAAGAGUCAGCAAGACUGAGCGACUAAGCACACAUGAGACAAACACCCUAGACACGAUCCCCAAACCCAAGAGAAGGUUCACCUUAGCCCCUUCAAUGAAACAACACGAGAAUUCCCAGCUGGUUCAGGGGUGAGCACUCAGUACAUCCGCUGCCAUGGCCAGGUGCAAGCCCUGGUUGAGGAAUUAAGAUCCUACAAAGCAAGCAACUCAGACAAAAAGAAAAAGAAAAAAAGAAACGAAACAACUCAAGUGUACCCUCCAGGUAGAAGAAACUGUGAAAGCACUCAUGGAAUACGUCCAGUUUCACUCCCUCCUAGGGCGCUACAUGCAGAGGCCUCCCAGCGGGAGGUUCAGAUGAGAGUUUCUGGUGAAAACUGACUCUAGUUGAGCCCAGCGGCUGGGAAGAGAAACAAACUCACGACGCCUCCACUCAAGAUGGCGGCAGCGGCAUCGGGCCGUGUGCACAGGGGAUGCGUCCGCAACGAGAUCCGUAACACGGGCAGCACAGCCCCACUAGUCUCGCGAGAACUCCAUCCCUUCCCCGCUGAUGAGAGUUAUUUAAAGCGGCCUGCCAUGGCGUCUUGGGGAGAACGUGUACCCUAGAGCAAAUGGUAGUUUUCCGUUCUCUGAUCAGAGAACAGAGCUUUCCUUUGCUUCUUUCUGAACUGAAUGCUGUCUCACUCUACUGGCUUGAAUGACAUCAGGCAUAAGAACUCUUGCUGGGGACCCACUGGAGGAUCAGUAACAGUUCUGAGAAUAAUUUAUGAAUCCUCUCACCUCUGUCCUCACCAUGACAAAUACAAAAUCACCCAACAACUAAUCACAAAUAAACGCUAUUAUCAGUUCGUAAAACUAAAUGGAGCAAUAGAGUGAUAGCCAUGAAAUUAAAAGAAGCUUGCUCCUUGAAAGAAAAGCUAGAACAAACCUAGACAGCAUAUUGAAAAGCCUACGGUUUUUCCAGUAGUCAUGUACCGCUGUGAGAGCUGGACCAUAAAGAAGACAGUGCCAAAGAACUGAGGCUUUCAAGCUGUGGUGUUGAAGAAGACUCUUGAGAGUCCCUUGGACAGCAAGGAGAACAAACCAGUCCAUCCUAAAGGAAAUCAACCCUGAUUAUUCAUUCACUCCACACUGUGCAGCAUGCCAGAUCUUGGUUACCCUACCAUGGAUGGAACCCAAGCCCCCUGCAGUGGAAUCGCAGAGUCUUAACCAAUGGACUGCCAGGAAAGUCUUGACAUUAAUCUUUUUAACUAGCAGUUGUUUUACAGAAUGUUUCUCAAUUUGCAUUUUUACAUGGUUUCUUCACAAGUAGAUUCAUUUAUGAUAAAACAUUUCUGGCAGGAAAACAACACAAGUGGUGUGUAUGUCACGUCAAAAAAUUUAUGUCAGCUUUUCCCAUUACUGAGGAUGUAAAAUUUGACUACUGAGGAUGUUAAAAUGGUGUCUUCCAGCCCUCACCUUUAAAAAAUACUUUUUAUCUUUGUAAUUAAUAAGCUAUCAUUUGGCUGAUAAUUUGAUAUUGUGUGAACAUCAUGCUCCCCAAGAAUCUUUCACACAACAGUUUUAGUUCAUUAAUGAUCCUUGUCAGAAACAAUUAUAGGAAUGGUUAUAAUAUAGUGAUUUAAAAAAAUUAUUCAUUGGAAUUUUUCUUCAAGAAAUAACUGUCUUCCUCUUUCAUUUUUUCCUGCCAGUGUGGAC